RNAcentral lists this unclassified non-coding RNA (2194 nucleotides) under Rattus norvegicus (Norway rat). Its description in RNAcentral is "pregnancy-induced noncoding RNA transcript B". Lineage: Eukaryota; Metazoa; Chordata; Mammalia; Rodentia; Muridae. The record is from RNAcentral.
CCAGUUUCUUGUUUAAUGUCAUAAUUAGAAGAAAGUCUUGAGAAGAUUUUUGUCCUGACUGAACAGAUUUUUGACCAGCCAACUAGCAAGCCAUGCAUUGUCCUCAUCCUUACACUCCCUGCAAUAUGGCUCCUUGUGUGGGACAAGGCUGUGACCUGGAUAGCUUCCAAACUGGCUGGAAGAAAGUGUGUGACUUCAAUGUGAGUAUAUUUUGCACAUGAAGAACCACAGAUUCUUCACCUGAGAUUCACAUCUAACAAGUGGGGUCUUCUUUCCUCCAGUAGAGCAGGUCACCAUCACUUUGCAGAUUGCUUGAAUGCUUGGAAGAUCACCUGAGUGCCUGCACCAAUCCUGUGUCCAUCUUAUGUUGAAGGGAGCAUCGAGGCUCUUUCCAUGGUUAAGAUGAUUGAGCAAAAAGGAUCCAUUCACAGCUCCGGCAACAUCUCUGGAAUAACUGUGUGAAGGAACUCUGCCAAGAGCUGGAAUUGCAGUUAACAUAGAAGCUUGAGGCAUAGAUAGCUGUAUCAUCUGGUUAAUAACUGCCAUUUGAAGGAGUCUGCAACACAGUGUGACCAAUUGCCUCAGUGUGUCCAGGUCUAUCCUAGUUUCCUGAGGCACAUACUUCCCAUCUUACAAGUGGAAAUAGAGCAAAAACCAUAUACACAGGCUCUUGGGAUUUGAAUGUGAAAUGAUGCUCAAAUGUUGGACUACUUAUCCUCACUUUGGGGAGCAGCUUGGAGCACAGAUAUCUGUACCAUCUGCUUAGAAACUUCCAUUUGAAGAAGUUUGCAAUAUGGUGUGAUCAAGUUGCUUCGGAGGUAUGACGGGGAACGUGCUCUAUGAAACAGAACCCUAGAAACACUUACUGAAUUUGAACUUUGUGUUGCUUUCUGAUAUCCGUGCUUGGGAUUCUGAAUGACUCCAGUUGGAUUUGAUUGGACCCAGGGUAGCGAGAGAAAUGAGGGGACAAGGCAUACACAUAGUGCAUAAGCAGGAAGACUCAUGACAUCAUACAUUUCUAGAACAGGACAGAUCUUCAAAAACAUGAACUGCAAGUUUCCUAUCCAUAGUGGAAGGUGGAAACGGAAGGAAGAAGGCAUGGUCCGGUCUUUCAGGAAGACUCUGCAGGAAGGAUACCACGGACAAGGGCUGAAAAUCUAAAUCCAACUCUGAAAACAUCACGUGACAGACACUGCCUUACCAUGUACACACCCAGAUGAUCCAACUUUCAUGUCAAUGACAGUGUUCAUCUGAAAAAGACCCAGCUUGACCCCUUACCUAAGUCACCUGAGAGAUGGGAGCCAAAUCCACUUCCUGUUCAGGUGUCAUAGAAAGGAGAGCCCAUUCUGUCCCUAGACUCAGUGCUGCCAAGACCCUGAGGGCUUGAGAAAAAGAAUUCUAAUGAAGUUUUUGUUUUGCUUUGUUUUGGUUUUCAAACAAUAGUGACUUUGUUGGCACAAUCAAGAAGCCCUCAAAGCAUGUGAGUGUGAGGGAUGGUGGUGAGUAAUGUGGUUUUAAAAUGAAGUCUUGAGUAUUGGCCCUUGCUUUUGAAGCACUUCUCUAUCAACUGCCUCAGAGGAUAAAAUGAAAUAGUUGGGCAAAGUGUUCAGUCCUGUCUUUCUACUAUUUGUUUAAAAUGCAUUGAUGCUAUCUCAUCACUUCUGUUUCUAGAAUAAAUCAAAGCCAGCAUUUUGAUAGCUUUUUAAAGAUGUGUACGCAUGUGCAUAUACGUGUGUGUGUGUGUGUGUGUGUGUGUGUGUGUUAAGUGUGCAUGUGAAGGGGACAGAGGUCAUUGUUGAAUUCCUCUAUUGCUUUCUGCCUUGUUGUCAAAAGCAAGGUCUCUCACUAAGCCUGCAGCUUACUCUCAGGACAAGAGCAGUGGGCCAUCGGGAUCUAGAAACACUUCUGUCUUUGCCUCCCCAGUGUUAGGGGACAAGCAUGUACCAUUUCACCCAGCCUUUUAUAUUUGCCGAGGAUCUCACCAUUGGUCUUCAUGUUUGUGUGGCAAUCGCUUUAAUGAGAUGGCUCCAGGGAAAGGCACUGUAUCUCCUGCCAAGCCUGGCAACUUAAGUUUAAUCUCUGAGACCUACAGUAUGGAGAGUUGUAAGUUGAGCUCUGUCUUCUACAUAUGCACCAGGAUGCCUGUGUGUCCCCAAAUAAAAUAAAUAGAUGUUUUAAAAAAAAAAAAAAAAAA